UCAUUUCUAUAUUUGAGGCAAUGAAAAACAGAACAAAUAAUACAUGGUGGUGGAGUAACUUACGAAAAACGUCGUGAGCAAAGCAUCAUUGUAGUAAAACUAUAUAAAAGGCUUGUC
This 117-nucleotide non-coding RNA is filed under the name Maribacter sp. HTCC2170. RNAcentral describes it as "Bacteroidete tryptophan peptide leader RNA". It matches the Rfam family "Bacteroidete tryptophan peptide leader RNA". The record is from RNAcentral. Lineage: Bacteria; Pseudomonadati; Bacteroidota; Flavobacteriia; Flavobacteriales; Flavobacteriaceae.